Molecule: non-coding RNA, 2446 nt
Organism: Bemisia tabaci
Lineage: Eukaryota; Metazoa; Arthropoda; Insecta; Hemiptera; Aleyrodidae
Source: RefSeq, a predicted model, not a curated record
UCAAUUAUAACAGCGAUCAGUUGGAUCCGUCGUUUGACUGUUGACUGUCGCGUCGAGCGCAUUGCUGUCCCGUUGGCGUUCCCGCGUUGCGAUCACACGUGUGUCCACCUCAGAUGCGUCCGCGUGUGCGUGUCCGAACCCAACGCGGCUCCGCGAGUUACUUGUGCCGUUGACCAACCCAUUCAUUCAUGUGACAUUUUUUCGCACGGAUUAUCAACAUGAUUCCUUUACGCGUGGAGGUGCUGCUUGUGUGGGUGAUAGUGGGGGAGAGGACGAGUUGGGCCGACGACAAGUGGGUAUGGGGCGAGAAGAGCAGGAGUCGCGGCCGAUCCGGUGAAUCCGCUCAAAGGGAUCAUGAGCAAGUCUCGAGAGAGAGCCUCGAGUACGAUCGACAACUCCAAGGGAUCUACAGCCACGAACGACCCGCCUACAACGACAACGUUUCCAAACAAACCAUCGACAUCCUUUCCAACUAUGAAUCAAAAACCCGACCCGAAUCCGACUACCGAUACGAGGUGUACGAGAACAGUGGAUUGGCAGACACGAGACCUCCACCCUACCGACCGGUAGCGUUCGGCUCGCCAAACCGACCGGUCGUUCCGCUACCCUCGUCAAAUCGGCCGGGGGUGUCACUACCCUCGCCGAACCGACCGGUGGCGGCGUUGGCCUCGCCAAGUCGCCCAGUUCCAGCGGCGUCCAUCUUCGCCCUACCCGCGAGGCCGGUUCCCGUCGUGAGCAGACCGAGCGCGCUGCCCAUCACGCUGCCCUCCCCGGCCGGCUCCAGGCCGAACCCCAACUUUGCUGGACCCCAGGGUGCCGCCUCAUCGGUGGGAAUUCUUACAGGUCCCGUGCCCUCCUGGGAGAACGCCCAGAGCACUCAUAAGAACGGCGACCCUACCCAGUUUGAACGCUGCAAGUGCUCCUUCUCCUUCAACUGCAAAGCGCCUGGCAUUCAGUUUGGCAAUUGCGAUGUAGGGAAACAGUACUGUUGCUACAACUCAAAAGGCGGCGGCUCAAGCACGCAUGCCGGAUUUGGGUCUCAUCUAGACGUAGACCGAACCGAUGGGAGCAACGGACAGUUACCGGCCAUCCUCGCUGGUCCGGGAGGGCCCGUCGACAACUACAACUUGGACGCUCCAGGUCCUGACGCCUCUGUAGAUUACCCCGGAGCCGGAGCCGGGCCCUUCACCAAGGAGUCCUCAAAUACGGAUCCUCAGACGCCAUUUUUCACCAAACUGUGGUCAUUUUUUGGUAACAUAUUUUAAAUGACUGCCAGUGCACUGAGCUGGACUCAAUGACAAGUUGCCAUCUCGCCGAUCAAGACCAAACCCAUUGAGGCCACCUCCACCUAACCGGGGUCCUCCGCCUCCUCCCUUCGGAGCAGGUCCACCGCCGCCUAUUCCUCCCUCGCCUUUCGGAGGAAGACCGUCGCUGCCACCUCCCCCGCCACCCCCUAACGCGCCGGAGCCUUUCUUCCGACCCUACACAGGACCCCCUGUGCCCCCGGGACCUCCACUGCCUCCGUUGCCCUUCUACGAUUACGUGUCUAGAACCUCCAACGUCACGAAAAUCGUCUCGGAGAACGCCAGCAACAGUGAAGAUCCUUAAACGACGAUUAAUCAAUAAAUUAAAUGGUAGAAUAAGUUGUGAAAUUUGUAAAUAGAUUUGAUUGAUCCGGAAAAUUAAGAUAUCCCCUGAACCACUCUCGUGAAUUAAGUACUUGUAAAUAAUAAUUGACCUGGACUGCUCACACAUGAGUAGAUGGAACUGGUUCAAUUUCGUCGUAUGGGUUUUUUUUUUUUUUUUUUUUUUUUUUUUUUUUUUUUUUUUUUUUAAAUGUAUUUAUUUACUAUUUUUUCUGUUAAAAUUUUAAAACAACUCAAUUAAGCUACCGAAUUCGAAUAAGAUACUAAUUCAAGAUUAGCAAUAAUGCAAGCUACAAAAUCGCCAACCCCGGUUUGACGUAUUCUGUUAAGUUCUAAUACACAAAAUAUAAAUUAUUUUCAGAAUUAAACUUCUUGCUUCUUUGAAAAUACAUCAAGACGACAAGAAUAGAAAGAGAGAACUAAGUUUCAAGACCAAUACCUACUGCAAAUAUUGCCUCCUUGGUAUAAAAGCUAAAUUCAAUUUUAUACAAAGUAGAAAACGUUUCGUUAAUGAACUUAAUGGCCGUGCUUCGACUAAAGUCUCCCAAAAAUUCUAUAAAAUUAAAUAGAAUAAAUAUGGUCUCAUUUUUGAGCGCCGGUGUCCAAUAAUGGCGUUGGUAUCGAUAUGCUUGAGUCAUUUUAAAAAUAUCUGGUCAGUGCUUGAUUUAGAAACUGAAGUAGUACUUCGAUUUAAAUUUUGCUCUAUGUUUGUACAGAUUUCUUAAUUAUUAAUUUUUUGUAAGUGUGUUAAAACUCCCAUUUUAUUUUUAAAUAAAAAAACUUACUUUUUAAUGAAAAAA